CCCCGGGCGGGGCGGGGGCACGGGGGGAACGCGAAGAACCUUACCAGGUCUUGACAUCUUUUGCCAAUUUUAGAGAUAAGGCGUUCCCUUCGGGGACAAAGUGACAGGUGGUGCAUGGUUGUCGUCAGCUCGUGUCGUGAGAUGUUGGGUUAAGUCCCGCAACGAGCGCAACCCUUAUUAUUAGUUGCCAUCAUUCAGUUGGGCACUCUGGUGAGACUGCCGGUGACAAACCGGAGGAAGGUGGGGAUGACGUCAAAUCAUCAUGCCCCUUAUGACCUGGGCUACACACGUGCUACAAUGGGCAGUACAACGAGUUGCGAAGUCGCGAGGCUAAGCUAAUCUCUUAAAGCCGUUCUCAGUUCGGAUUGUAGGCUGCAACUCGCCUGACAUGAA
RNAcentral lists this ribosomal RNA (393 nucleotides) under Levilactobacillus brevis. RNAcentral's name for it is "bacterial SSU rRNA". It matches the Rfam family "Bacterial small subunit ribosomal RNA", at positions 934 to 1324 of the family's 1533-position model. Lineage: Bacteria; Bacillati; Bacillota; Bacilli; Lactobacillales; Lactobacillaceae. The record is from RNAcentral.